RNAcentral lists this ribosomal RNA (341 nucleotides) under uncultured Synergistaceae bacterium. Its description in RNAcentral is "bacterial SSU rRNA". It matches the Rfam family "Bacterial small subunit ribosomal RNA", at positions 1041 to 1382 of the family's 1533-position model. Lineage: Bacteria; Thermotogati; Synergistota; Synergistia; Synergistales; Synergistaceae. The record is from RNAcentral.
CUGCAUGGCUGUCGUCAGCUCGUGUCGUAAGAUGUGGGUUAAGUCCGCAACGAGCGCAACCCCUGCAUUCAGUUGCCAUCGGGUAAUGCCGGGCACUCUGGAAGGACUGCCAUCGACAAGAUGGAGGAAGGUGGGGAUGACGUCAAGUCAUCAUGGCCCUUAUGUCCAGGGCGACACACGUGCUACAAUGGCCGGCACAACGGGAAGCGAGUUCGCGAGGACAAGCGGAUCCCUUAAAGCCGGUCGCAGUUCGGAUUGAAGUCUGCAACUCGACUUCAUAAAGCUGGAAUCGCUAGUAAUCGUGGAUCAGCCAAGCCGCGGUGAAUACGUUCCCGGGCCUU